RNAcentral lists this ribosomal RNA (464 nucleotides) under uncultured bacterium. RNAcentral describes it as "partial 16S ribosomal RNA". It matches the Rfam family "Bacterial small subunit ribosomal RNA", at positions 28 to 507 of the family's 1533-position model. The record is from RNAcentral.
GACGAACGCUGGCGGCGUGCUUAACACAUGCAAGUCGAGCGGAAAGGCCCUUUCGGGGGUACUCGAGCGGCGAACGGGUGAGUAACACGUGAGUAAUCUGCCCUUCACUUGGGGAUAACCUCCUGAAACGGUGGCUAAUACCCGAUACGACCAUUCCUCGCAUGAGGUGGUGGUGGAAAGUUUUUCGGUGGGGGAUGUGCUCGCGGCCUAUCAGCUUGUUGGUGGGGUAAUGGCCUACCAAGGCUUCGACGGGUAGCCGGCCUGAGAGGGUGACCGGCCACACUGGGACUGAGACACGGCCCAGACUCCUACGGGAGGCAGCAGUGGGGAAUAUUGGACAAUGGGCGGAAGCCUGAUCCAGCAACGCCGCGUGAGGGAUGACGGCCUUCGGGUUGUAAACCUCUUUCACCUGUGACGAAGCGAAAGUGACGGUAGCAGGAGAAGAAGCACCGGCCAACUACGUG